AUCCCUGUAGCGCAAUGAAUAGCGUGUUGGACUUCUAACCCAAAGGUCAUGUAGAUUCGAAUUCUACCUGAGAUA
This is a non-coding RNA of Trichonephila inaurata madagascariensis, 75 nucleotides long. Lineage: Eukaryota; Metazoa; Arthropoda; Arachnida; Araneae; Nephilidae. The record is from the annotation of a GenBank genome assembly.